RNAcentral lists this unclassified non-coding RNA (200 nucleotides) under Penicillium sp. RNAcentral's name for it is "partial internal transcribed spacer 2". Lineage: Eukaryota; Fungi; Ascomycota; Eurotiomycetes; Eurotiales; Aspergillaceae. The record is from RNAcentral.
UUAAGUUCAGCGGGUAUCCCUACCUGAUCCGAGGUCAACCUGAAAAAAUUUAGAUUGGGGGUCGACAGGCGCCGGCCGGGCCUACAGAGCGGGUGACAAAGCCCCAUACGCUCGAGGACCGGACACGGUGCCGCCGCUGCCUUUCGGGCCCGUCCCCCCGGAGAGGGGGACGAGGCCCAACACACAAGCCGGGCUUGAGG